This is a long non-coding RNA of Equus asinus (donkey), 1903 nucleotides long. Lineage: Eukaryota; Metazoa; Chordata; Mammalia; Perissodactyla; Equidae. The record is from Ensembl.
AGUGUUCCUGUGAUUGACACACAGAUGUGGGCAAUAGAGACAGCUGGAGGCACUUGGCUUGGAUCCCUCUUGCUCAGCACUACCAUUAUACAUAAAGUUGCUCUGACUCUCACUGACCUGUCAUAUCUGCUUUGGUGCUCUACUACUAAAAAGAAAAAGGCUUGCAGGCUGUCCUGGGGGAGCUGCUUUGAUGCCACGGUGCAUUGGUCUUGCUGCCCAUUUCAAAAAUGAAAAGACCCAGCUUGCUUACUCCAGCUCAACAAAGAGAUUAGUCCACCAAACAUGAGGAAAUCACGACUUGCCAGUAACUACAUCUGAAGGGUCUGAAUUAUCAGCCAAAGCCUUCUUAACUUAAAAUCUGCUAUCUGCUGCAUAUGGUGCCUAAAUACCAAAGGAACAGAGCACUUUUAAAUCCUUGGCAUGGCUGUUGUUAAAAGAUAAUUUUACCAAAAAAAAGUAAAAUCAUGGCUCUCAUACAGAUAUGAACACAUGCUAAAGACUUUGUUUAACUCAUUAAUGAGGGAACUGAUGAAGUCUUACAUAACCAAUUUGAGAAAGAAUUCAAGAAAAAAAGGACAGGAAUAUUGAAAUGGAUUUGCAAAUGAAAACAAACUGGCCUCUUUCAAAGUUUGUGUGUGGGGGGGAGGGGACCGUUGGAUAUCCAAUGGAUAGAAUUUACAUGUCUAUGGACAAGAAUUAUUUUGCAUGCUAUCAGUUUUCUACAGUUUACAGAGUUGUAAAAUUGCUCAAAAACAGUGAAAAACUAGAAUCAGGUAUAAUGGAGGGAUGUGAUCCAAACAAUGUAUAGUUUUCUGUUCAAAGAUUUUUGUUCUGCGCUGUGCUGGGGGAGAUGGCCCAGGUCUUGGCAAACUAAGCGGUGGGCUAAAAGCCAUAGGCUCCUUGCUGUCAGGGCUCCUUGAUCCUGAACCGGCCAACUUACAGAAACCAUUUCUUGAACUUUGUUUUAGGAUGCCUUCAGCCUGCUGCUGGAUUCAUUUUUUCGCCUCUGUUCCUUUGAAAUGGCACUAUUUGUUCAUAUGACAAUUGCAGUGUCAUGGCAAAAAAAAACAGAAGAUGAGAUUAGCCACCUCACGGUAAAAAUGAGGCGCUAAAAAGUCGCUUUUUCCCAAAUUCAGUUUUCACUCUAGAUUCCUUUUCCCCAAAGAAAGAGAAUACACCAAGGUGCCCCUUGCUCCCACACCAUAAAGCCCAGCUUGCCACAACAGUUUGCUUUUGAUUUGGUAAACUUGCCUUCAGUCUUCUAUUUGACAUAUUUUCUCUUUUUCUUUUCAGUAUAUUUCAUUCACUGAGCAUAUCUGCAGAGAAGCCUGAUACACACACACGCGCACACACACACACGCGCCAUACCCACCCACAUCAUUACACACACCCCUUAGGAAUUAAAUCUUCAAGUUUACCUCCAAACUAUGUUUUAAUCCAUUCAAUUAUUCAUGCUAAAGGAAAGCAGCAGAGGCAUGGCUAAUCCAAAAUGCUAUGUAAUACUCAAAUCAUGUAAUGUGGCUUUGGAGUAUGUUUUUAUGCUGAUGUUUGAAAUCAGAUGUGCCUUAUGGAAGAGGGCAUUAUAGAGAAAAUUUACUAGAAAGAAACCCUUAAAAACUCAAAAAUAUGGUCCUACCUCAACUAGGUUUGUGACCAAGCUGAAUUCAGUUUAUCUUUCAGCCUCACUUUCCAACUCUAUAAAGUGAAGCAUUUGAACAAAGUGAUCUCUGAAGCUCCUUUCAGCUCUGGAAACUUCAGGAUAUUCUAGGGAUGGGCUUUAAGCCAACAAUAAGGCAAAAAAGCAAGUCAAACUGUAACUCAAGGGGGUGCUGAGAAGCUAUUCAAUUUCCCAUCUUGACCUUCUGUUUAACUCUUCCCUGUGACCAUCCUGUUGAGGGUAGAC